UAUUGCGCAAUGGGGGAAACCCUGACGCAGCAACGCCGCGUGAAGGAAGUAGGUCUUCGGAUUGUAAACUUCUUUGAUCAGGGACGAAACAAAUGACGGUACCUGAGGAACAAGCCACGGCUAACUACGUGCCAGCAGCCGCGGUAAUACGUAGGUGGCGAGCGUUAUCCGGAUUUACUGGGUGUAAAGGGCGUGUAGGCGGCUCUGCAAGUCAGAUGUGAAAUUUCCGGGCUUAACCCGGACGGGUCAUCUGAAACUGCAGGACUUGAGUACUGGAGAGGAUAGCGGAAUUCCUAGUGUAGCGGUAAAAUGCGUAGAUAUUAGGAGGAACACCGGUGGCGAAGGCGGCUAUCUGGACAGUAACUGACGCUGAGGCGCGAAAGCGUGGGGAGCAAACAGG
RNAcentral lists this ribosomal RNA (400 nucleotides) under uncultured bacterium. Its description in RNAcentral is "bacterial SSU rRNA". It matches the Rfam family "Bacterial small subunit ribosomal RNA", at positions 362 to 776 of the family's 1533-position model. The record is from RNAcentral.